UUUCUCCUGGGCCAUUAGCUCAGGUGGUUAGAGCGCACCCCUGAUAAGGGUGAGGUCCCUGGUUCAAGUCCAGGAUGGCCCAUAUCUCUAUGUUGGGGGUAUAGCUCAGUUGGUAGAGCGCCUGCUUUGCAAGCAGGAUGUCAGCGGUUCGAGUCCGCUUACCUCCACUGAAUACCACCUCUUACAUAUAGUUGAAGUGGGAAAUUGUUUUGAGUCGUGUCCUAAUUUGCUCUGAGCGAAUCUAGCUUCCUAUUUUAUCCAAGAAAUAAGAUGCUGGACUCAUUGAAUUUUUUUUCAUUGUUUUCAGAGAACCUUGACAACUGCAUAGAUUAUUUUUAAAGACAAUAAGCAUCUUUAAUGAUGCAGAUUUAUUAUUUGUGCGAAUGCAUUAAAUAACAAUUCUAUUAAGCUGAUGCUUCAAUUAUUGAAGUUAUUGGUCAAGCUACAAAGGGCUCACGGAGGAUACCUAGGCACACAGAGGCGAUGAA
This 488-nucleotide transfer RNA is filed under the name uncultured cyanobacterium. Its description in RNAcentral is "partial contains 16S-23S ribosomal RNA intergenic spacer and 23S ribosomal RNA". The stretch from base 95 to 167 matches the Rfam family "tRNA". Lineage: Bacteria; Bacillati; Cyanobacteriota. The record is from RNAcentral.